This 216-nucleotide unclassified non-coding RNA is filed under the name Entoloma exile. RNAcentral describes it as "partial internal transcribed spacer 2". The record is from RNAcentral. Lineage: Eukaryota; Fungi; Basidiomycota; Agaricomycetes; Agaricales; Entolomataceae.
AAUUCUCAACCUUUCAAGCUUUUGUUGAAGUCUUGUCAGGCUUGGAUUUUGGGAGUGUGCUGGUUCUAGACAGUCAGCUCUCCUUAAAUGUAUUAGCAAGAUUAAUCGCUGAAUCACCUUUGAUAUGAUAAUUAUCUAUAUCAUUGAUGAACCGGUGUUUUCCUCACAAGGAAAGAUCUGGCUUCUAACUGUCUUCAAAGACAAUUUAUUUCAAUC